UACGGAGGGGGCAAGCGUUGUUCGGAAUUACUGGGCGUAAAGGGCUCGUAGGCGGCCAACUAAGUCGGAUGUGAAAUCCCCAGGCUCAACCUGGGAACUGCAUCCGAUACUGGAUGGCUUGAAUUCGGGAGAGGGAUGCAGAAUUCCAGGCGUAGCGGUGAAAUGCGUAGAUAUCUGGAGGAAUACCGGUGGCGAAGGCGGCAUCCUGGACCGACAUUGACGCUGAGGAGCGAAAGCCAGGGGAGCAAACGGG
Molecule: ribosomal RNA, 253 nt
Filed under: uncultured bacterium
Lineage: Bacteria
Description: partial 16S ribosomal RNA
Rfam family: Bacterial small subunit ribosomal RNA
Source: RNAcentral